This 305-nucleotide ribosomal RNA is filed under the name uncultured bacterium. Its description in RNAcentral is "bacterial SSU rRNA". It matches the Rfam family "Bacterial small subunit ribosomal RNA", at positions 335 to 659 of the family's 1533-position model. The record is from RNAcentral.
UACCUACGGGAGGCAGCAGUCGGGAAUAUUGCGCAAUGGAGGAAACUCUGACGCAGUGACGCCGCGUGCAGGAAGAAGGUUUUCGGAUUGUAAACUGCUUUAGACAGGGAAGAUAAUGACAGUACCUGUAGAAUAAGCUCCGGCUAACUACGUGCCAGCAGCCGCGGUAAUACGUAGGGAGCAAGCGUUAUCCGGAUUUAUUGGGUUUAAAGGGUGCGCAGGCGGAAGAUCAAGUCAGCGGUAAAAUUGAGAGGCUCAACCUCUUCGAGCCGUUGAAACUGGUUUUCUUGAGUGAGCGAGAAGUA